RNAcentral lists this ribosomal RNA (149 nucleotides) under Lactococcus lactis subsp. lactis bv. diacetylactis str. TIFN4. Its description in RNAcentral is "partial 16S ribosomal RNA". It matches the Rfam family "Bacterial small subunit ribosomal RNA", at positions 1 to 144 of the family's 1533-position model. The record is from RNAcentral. Lineage: Bacteria; Bacillati; Bacillota; Bacilli; Lactobacillales; Streptococcaceae.
UUAUUUGAGAGUUUGAUCCUGGCUCAGGACGAACGCUGGCGGCGUGCCUAAUACAUGCAAGUUGAGCGCUGAAGGUUGGUACUUGUACCGACUGGAUGAGCAGCGAACGGGUGAGUAACGCGUGGGGAAUCUGCCUUUGAGCGGGGGAC